GCGAAAACUUUACAAUGCUGGCAACAGCGAUAAGGGAACCUCGAGUGCCAGGAUACAAAUCUGGCUGUCGAGAUGCCUAAAAAGCAUUUCAUAGCAAGGGCCGGGCAAGACCGGUGCCAGCCGCCGCGGUAACACCGGCGGCUCGAGUGGUAACCGUUAUUAUUGGGUCUAAAGGGUCUGUAGCCGGCCGGAUAAGUCUCUUGAGAAAUCUGGCAGCUUAACUGUCAGGCUUUCAGGAGAUACUGUCUGGCUCGAGGCCGGGAGAGGUGAGAGGUACUUCAGGGGUAGGUGUGAAAUCUUGUAAUCCUUGAAGGACCACCAGUGGCGAAGGCGUCCCACCAGAACGGACCUGACGGCAAGGGACGAAAGCUAGGGGCACGAACC
RNAcentral lists this ribosomal RNA (384 nucleotides) under uncultured prokaryote. Its description in RNAcentral is "bacterial SSU rRNA". It matches the Rfam family "Archaeal small subunit ribosomal RNA", at positions 341 to 725 of the family's 1478-position model. The record is from RNAcentral.